Felis catus (domestic cat) is the source of this 988-nucleotide long non-coding RNA. RefSeq lists it as uncharacterized. The record is from RefSeq and is a predicted model, not a curated record. The transcript has 3 exons. NCBI's taxonomy places the organism in Eukaryota, Metazoa, Chordata, Mammalia, Carnivora, Felidae.
AGUGAGCCCUUUCAUUUGAAGAGCCAAUUGACUUUAUCUGUCCUUCCUUCCAGCUCCCAGCCUGGGGCCUCUGCCCUGAUGCCACUACACAAUGGCCCCGCUACUCCCCACAGGUGGAAAGUUCUUCUUGAAAGCCUCCAGCAGCCUCGCUGCCUUGACUGCUCCAUAAAGCACUGGCAUGCUCUGGUCACUCUGCCCUGAGAGUUUAAUGUGAAUACUAAAGAACACUGACAGGUCCCCAUACAUCAGCUAAUUCGAGGAGCAUCUUCCUAAGGCAUUGAAAACUUCAUUAUCAUACAAAUAUGUCUCUGGCAUGGCAUUUUCCCCUGGACCACAGAAUGCAGCUAACUGUGUAGCAGAAAUUUUAAUGAAUCGGUGUCUUUCCCACCUGAGUGCUUCUGUGGAAUGCGAGGACAAGUUGGCUCCCGAAACCAGGCAUCUUGGGUAGGAGUCAGCUGAUGGUUCUUUGGCCAGUGGGAUGUUGAAGGAGAUCUGGCAACGAGACAGGACAUCUUCCACCUUCUGCCUGGGAACACUGCCAGUUAAUGUUUCCACCCCACCUAUCACCUGCAUACUGUACAGAAUUCUCCUGCUGUCCUGCCGUUGGUAUGCACACCGCUGCAUGGGGCCUUCUUUGCUCCUGAACUAUCCUAAGGCUGAUCCAUCCCAAUCCCCCUUAUUUUGAAACAACAACCAAACAUAAUUGGACAGACAUAACUACUUGAUUUUCACCAAAUAAAACUGUCUUACCAACUGUUCUCAUCCUUGGGGAAAUUUAUUUUUAUAUCCCUAUCUUUGGCCCUAUGAUUCUCCCCUCUUUGACAACAGAGAGAGUAAUAAUAAAUGUAGUUUCAGACACUCACUUUUAACACAUCUAUAUUUUUAAAAUGUUUAUUUAUUUAUUUGAGGCAGAGAGAGCGAGUGAGCAAGGAACAGGCAGAGAAUGAGGGAGAGACAAAGAAUCCCAAGCAGUGCUCCAUGCUCAGUA